CCUACGGGGGGCAGCAGUGGGGAAUAUUGCGCAAUGGGCGAAAGCCUGACGCAGCGACGCCGCGUGAGGGAUGAAGGUCUUCGGAUCGUAAACCUCUGUCAGCAGGGAAGAACGGUCACUGUGCUAAUCAGCAGUGAAUUGACGGUACCUGCAAAGGAAGCACCGGCUAACUCCGUGCCAGCAGCCGCGGUAAUACGGAGGGUGCGAGCGUUAAUCGGAAUUACUGGGCGUAAAGCGCUCGUAGGCGGUAUGUCAAGUCAAGGGUGAAAUCCCCGCGCUCAACGUGGGAACUGCCUUUGAAACUGGCAAACUGGGGUGUGUGAGGAGAUAGUGGAAUUCCAGGUGUAGGAGUGAAAUCCGUAGAUAUCUGGAGGAACAUCAGUGGCGAAGGCGACUAUCUGGCACAUAACUGACGCUGAGGAGCGAAAGCGUGGGUAGCAAACAGGAUUAGAUACCCUGGUAGUC
RNAcentral lists this ribosomal RNA (465 nucleotides) under uncultured bacterium. Its description in RNAcentral is "partial 16S ribosomal RNA". It matches the Rfam family "Bacterial small subunit ribosomal RNA", at positions 338 to 795 of the family's 1533-position model. The record is from RNAcentral.